UCGAACGAUGAAGCUCCUGCUUGCAGGGGUGGAUUAGUGGCGAACGGGUGAGUAACACGUGAGUAACCUGCCCCUGACUGUGGGAUAAGCCCGGGAAACUGGGUCUAAUACCGCAUAUGACAUCUGGCCGCAUGGUCUGGAUGUGGAAAGUUUUUCGGUUGGGGAUGGGCUCGCGGCCUAUCAGCUUGUUGGUGGGGUAAUGGCCUACCAAGGCGACGACGGGUAGCCGGCCUGAGAGGGCGACCGGCCACACUGGGACUGAGACACGGCCCAGACUCCUACGGGAGGCAGCAGUGGGGAAUAUUGCACAAUGGGGGAAACCCUGAUGCAGCGACGCCGCGUGAGGGAUGACGGCCUUCGGGUUGUAAACCUCUUUCAGUAGGGAAGAAGCCUUCGGGUGACGGUACCUGCAGAAGAAGUACCGGCUAACUACGUGCCAGCAGCCGCGGUAAUACGUAGGGUACAAGCGUUGUCCGGAAUUAUUGGGCGUAAAGAGCUCGUAGGCGGUUCGUCGCGUCUGCUGUGGAAACGCAAGGCUCAACCUUGCGCGUGCAGUGGGUACGGGCGGACUAGAGUGCAGUAGGGGAGUCUGGAAUUCCUGGUGUAGCGGUGAAAUGCGCAGAUAUCAGGAGGAACACCGGUGGCGAAGGCGGGACUCUGGGCUGUAACUGACGCUGAGGAGCGAAAGCAUGGGGAGCGAACAGGAUUAGAUACCCUGGUAGUCCAUGCCGUAAACGUUGGGCACUAGGUGUGGGG
RNAcentral lists this ribosomal RNA (756 nucleotides) under Brevibacterium senegalense. RNAcentral's name for it is "bacterial SSU rRNA". It matches the Rfam family "Bacterial small subunit ribosomal RNA", at positions 62 to 827 of the family's 1533-position model. Lineage: Bacteria; Bacillati; Actinomycetota; Actinomycetes; Micrococcales; Brevibacteriaceae. The record is from RNAcentral.